RNAcentral lists this ribosomal RNA (888 nucleotides) under Klebsiella pneumoniae. RNAcentral's name for it is "partial 23S ribosomal RNA". It matches the Rfam family "Bacterial large subunit ribosomal RNA", at positions 858 to 1746 of the family's 2925-position model. The record is from RNAcentral. Lineage: Bacteria; Pseudomonadati; Pseudomonadota; Gammaproteobacteria; Enterobacterales; Enterobacteriaceae.
CCCGAAAGCUAUUUAGGUAGCGCCUCGUGAACUCAUCUUCGGGGGUAGAGCACUGUUUCGGCUAGGGGGUCAUCCCGACUUACCAACCCGAUGCAAACUACGAAUACCGAAGAAUGUUAUCACGGGAGACACACGGCGGGUGCUAACGUCCGUCGUGAAGAGGGAAACAACCCAGACCGCCAGCUAAGGUCCCAAAGUCAUGGUUAAGUGGGAAACGAUGUGGGAAGGCACAGACAGCCAGGAUGUUGGCUUAGAAGCAGCCAUCAUUUAAAGAAAGCGUAAUAGCUCACUGGUCGAGUCGGCCUGCGCGGAAGAUGUAACGGGGCUAAACCAUGCACCGAAGCUGCGGCAGCGACACUAUGUGUUGUUGGGUAGGGGAGCGUUCUGUAAGCCUGCGAAGGUGUGCUGUGAGGCAUGCUGGAGGUAUCAGAAGUGCGAAUGCUGACAUAAGUAACGAUAAAGCGGGUGAAAAGCCCGCUCGCCGGAAGACCAAGGGUUCCUGUCCAACGUUAAUCGGGGCAGGGUGAGUCGACCCCUAAGGCGAGGCCGAAAGGCGUAGUCGAUGGGAAACAGGUUAAUAUUCCUGUACUUGGUGUUACUGCGAAGGGGGGACGGAGAAGGCUAUGUUAGCCGGGCGACGGUUGUCCCGGUUUAAGCAUGUAGGCUGGUUGUCCAGGCAAAUCCGGAUAAUCAAGGCUGAGGUGUGAUGACGAGGCACUACGGUGCUGAAGUAACAAAUGCCCUGCUUCCAGGAAAAGCCUCUAAGCAUCAGGUAACAUUAAAUCGUACCCCAAACCGACACAGGUGGUCAGGUAGAGAAUACCAAGGCGCUUGAGAGAACUCGGGUGAAGGAACUAGGCAAAAUGGUGCCGUAACUUCGGGAGAAGG